Molecule: non-coding RNA, 26 nt
Filed under: Homo sapiens (human)
Lineage: Eukaryota; Metazoa; Chordata; Mammalia; Primates; Hominidae
Source: RNAcentral
UGUUCCCUGUUGGGCCAGUUGCCCCC